AUGAUGAGGUCAUACUGGAUUAGGUUGGAUCCCAAAUCCAAUAUGACUGGCAUCCCUAUAAAACAGGGAAAUUUGGAGAAAGAUGCACACAGGAGAGAGACACGUGAAGAUGAAGUCAGAGAUGGGGUGACAUUCCUUCAAGAGAAGAAAUGCCAAAGACUGUCAGCAAACCACCAGAAGCUAGAGGAGUGGCAUGGCACAGAUUGCCGCUCACAGUCCACAGAAGGAACAACCCUGCUCACACCUCAAUUUCAGACUCCGAACCUCUGGAACUGGAAGAUGAUAUGGUUCUGCCAUUUAGGCCACUUAGUUUGUACUGCUUGUUGCGGCAGCCCUAGCGAACUAAUAUACUAUCUGACACAUUUUGUUUCUUUCUAGUUCCCUGAAGAAAGAAUAUAUUCAUUUAUCAAUUCAACAGGUGUCUAUUAAAGUGAAAGUCUCUCAGUUGUGUCUAACUCUUUGCAACCCUAUGGCCUAUUCAGUCCAUGGGAUUCUCUAGCCCAGAAUACCGGAGUGGGUGGCCUUUCCCUUCUCCAGGGGAUCUUCCCAANNNNNNNNNNNNNNNNNNNNNNNNNNNNNNNNNNNNNNNNNNUUUACCAGCUGAGCCACCAGGGAAGCCCAAGAAUACUGGAGUGGGUAGUAGCCUAUCCUUUUCCAGGGGAACUUUCCAACCCAGGAAUUGAACCAGGGUCUCCUGCCAUUGGAGGUGGAUUCCUGAGCUAUCAGGAAAGCCUUGAUUAAAAGCUCUACUGACUGGAAAAUGAAAAAAACACAGGUUCCUGAUCUUUAGGAAUUAACAACCUACGAGUCAAGCCACAGGUAAACAAUAAUUGAUGUAAAGUAGACUGGGAUGAGUAUUCCUGAUGUACGAAAGCAAAGAACGCUUCACUCCCAUGGUUUUGGAUGGCUUAUCCCUUACACCUAGACAUCUCUUUUAGAAAAAUUCUGUUUUCCCACAGGGCAGUUAUCUCUUUUCCUAGGCCUAACGUCUAUUUCCCUUCUCCCAUCUUCAGCACACACUGACACUGAAGUCAGUCCACUGCCAUUAUGAUAAUCCUUUCCUCGCAGAGUAAACAGACAGAAGGCACUCCC
Molecule: long non-coding RNA, 1092 nt
Filed under: Capra hircus (goat)
Lineage: Eukaryota; Metazoa; Chordata; Mammalia; Artiodactyla; Bovidae
Description: lncRNA (ENSCHIG00010006655.1)
Source: RNAcentral